UUCUAGGACUAUAACACCCUGAAUGUGCAUGAUCCCAUCUGAUCUCGGAAGCUAAGCAGGGUUGAUCCUGGGUAGUCUUUGGAUGGGAGACCACUUUGCAAUACUGACUGCUUUAGGCU
Molecule: ribosomal RNA, 119 nt
Filed under: Jaculus jaculus (lesser Egyptian jerboa)
Lineage: Eukaryota; Metazoa; Chordata; Mammalia; Rodentia; Dipodidae
Source: RNAcentral